RNAcentral lists this ribosomal RNA (530 nucleotides) under uncultured marine bacterium. RNAcentral describes it as "bacterial SSU rRNA". It matches the Rfam family "Bacterial small subunit ribosomal RNA", at positions 389 to 916 of the family's 1533-position model. The record is from RNAcentral.
CAGCCAUGCCGCGUGCGUGAGAAGGCCUUCGGGUUGUAAAGCGCUUUUGUUGGGAAAGAAAUCCAGCCGGCUAAUACCUGGUUGGGAUGACGGUACCCAAAGAAUAAGCACCGGCUAACUUCGUGCCAGCAGCCGCGGUAAUACGAAGGGUGCAAGCGUUACUCGGAAUUACUGGGCGUAAAGCGUGCGUAGGUGGUCGUUUAAGUCCGUUGUGAAAGCCCUGGGCUCAACCUGGGAACUGCAGUGGAUACUGGGCGACUAGAGUGUGGUAGAGGGGAGUGGAAUUCCUGGUGUAGCAGUGAAAUGCGUAGAGAUCAGGAGGAACAUCCAUGGCGAAGGCAGCUACCUGGACCAACACUGACACUGAGGCACGAAAGCGUGGGGAGCAAACAGGAUUAGAUACCCUGGUAGUCCACGCCCUAAACGAUGCGAACUGGAUGUUGGGUGCAAUUUGGCACGCAGUAUCAAGCUAACGCGUUAAUUCGCCGCCUGGGGAUACGGUCGCAAGACUGAACUCAAUGAAUUGACGG